This 474-nucleotide ribosomal RNA is filed under the name Triticum aestivum (bread wheat). Its description in RNAcentral is "partial small subunit ribosomal RNA". Lineage: Eukaryota; Viridiplantae; Streptophyta; Magnoliopsida; Poales; Poaceae. The record is from RNAcentral.
AUGGGAGACAUGAAUGACCUUCUGUAUGAUAUGGACAAGAGCUCCCACUCUGUGAAUACUAGUCGUAUGCAUGCCUUUCGCAACAUCGUCAAAAACUGUGGGUUCUUUGACUUGGGUUAUAGUGGCCCUGCAUAUACUUGGACUAACAAACGUUAUACUUCCAUGCCAACUUUUGAGCGUCUUGACAGAUGUUUGGUAAAUGCAGAAUGGUGUGCUUUAUACCCUAUCACUAAUGUUUACAAUUUGCCUAUUACCAUUAGUGAUCAUGCUCCCAUUCUCAUAUCCACAGAAGGUAAAUUUAAGAAGCCUUUGCAAAGUUUCAAAUUUGAAAAUUGGUGGCUUAUGGAAAAAGACUUUCAUGAUCAUGCUAAAGCGGCCUGGAGUAGUACUACUCAUAGACCUUAUUAUGCUAGAACUAACCAUCUUGCAGGCUCACUGAAAAAAUGGUGUAAGAAGAAAAAGCCACUGAACUAG